GAGUUUGAUCCUGGCUCAGAUUGAACGCUGGCGGCAUGCCUUACACAUGCAAGUCGAACGGCAGCAUGAUCUAGCUUGCUAGAUUGAUGGCGAGUGGCGAACGGGUGAGUAAUACAUCGGAACGUGCCCUGUAGUGGGGAUAACUAGUCGAAAGAUUAGCUAAUACCGCAUACGACCUGAGGGUGAAAGUGGGGGACCGGCAAGGCCUCAUGCUAUAGGAGCGGCCGAUGUCUGAUUAGCUAGUUGGUGGGGUAAAGGCCCACCAAGGCGACGAUCAGUAGCUGGUCUGAGAGGACGAUCAGCCACACUGGGACUGAGACACGGCCCAGACUCCUACGGGAGGCAGCAGUGGGGAAUUUUGGACAAUGGGCGAAAGCCUGAUCCAGCAAUGCCGCGUGUGUGAAGAAGGCC
RNAcentral lists this ribosomal RNA (411 nucleotides) under uncultured microorganism. RNAcentral's name for it is "bacterial SSU rRNA". It matches the Rfam family "Bacterial small subunit ribosomal RNA", at positions 9 to 416 of the family's 1533-position model. The record is from RNAcentral.